GUAGAGCGGCGGACGGGUGAGUAACGCGUGGGAAAUUGCCCAGUAGUGGGGGACAACAUUCGGAAACGGAUGCUAAUACCGCAUACGCCCUACGGGGGAAAGCAGGGGAUCUUCGGACCUUGCGCUAUUGGAUAUGCCCGCGUCGGAUUAGCUAGUUGGUGAGGUAAUGGCUCACCAAGGCAACGAUCCGUAGCUGGUCUGAGAGGAUGAUCAGCCACACUGGGACUGAGACACGGCCCAGACUCCUACGGGAGGCAGCAGUGGGGAAUAUUGGACAAUGGGCGCAAGCCUGAUCCAGCCAUGCCGCGUGUGUGAAGAAGGCCCUAGGGUUGUAAAGCACUUUCAGUAGGGAGGAAGGCCUUAAAGUUAAUACCUUUGAGGAUUGACGUUACCUACA
RNAcentral lists this ribosomal RNA (397 nucleotides) under marine sediment bacterium BB0608_AND_5.1_1G0. RNAcentral's name for it is "bacterial SSU rRNA". It matches the Rfam family "Bacterial small subunit ribosomal RNA", at positions 90 to 483 of the family's 1533-position model. The record is from RNAcentral.